AUUUGACUCACGUAAAGUAUUGUUUUUCUUGUAACGGACAAUUCAAAUUUCCCAUUUCCCAAUGGAAACUAAAAACGUUAAUAUCCUAGCUAGGAGUUGAUUUCAGUAAUUUUCGUCGCGCAACACGUGUUUUACGUGAAAUUCUAGUUUAGAAAAUUGUAUCAGAAUGCUUAAAUUCGUAUCUUGUAAGCCCGUCAAUUUGAAUUUUCCGCGAAAAAAGUCCGUCAAUUCGGAUUUCCCGCGAACAAUGUGAAUUUUCUACUAGCCAAUGGUAUCAUAGUCAUCAACCAUCAUGAUGUUUCCCGCUAAAUUGCAAUUCUUCUGCUAGCCAAUUGUAUCGCAGUCAACUAACCAAUCACGAUUGAGUUUUGUUAUCACCACAUAUGUUUACUUCUUUUUGCGGUGGAGGUUAGAAAGCAUGAAAGCAACUCUCUGAUAACAAAUCGCCUUCUUGUGCCCAAAUAUUGUCUUUCCCUCAAGAUUUUCUCGGAAAUCUGAUUUUGACUAACCAAGUGUACACCAUUACAAUAGAUCAAUAAGUCAGUGCAAUAAAUCUUCUUCCUCCUCUUCAUCAGCAAUAAAUAACAGCUCCAAUGGUUUCCUCAACUAUCCAGAUUACUACAAUCCUUAUACAGCAGGGUACCAACCUGGAUAUAGCUCCUCUUACCCGGCCACAACAGGAGUUUUCAAGUUAUUCAAAUGCAUACGGACAGGUACAGGCAAUGGCAAACUAUUGUGCAGCUGCGUCGCAGGGAUGCACCACGUACCCUGGCUCUUUCAACACGUCGCCGUAUUCCUUAGCAGCUCCUUUACAGGUAAGAGUCAUUUUUAAUCUCCUUGCAUCAGCAUCUCACAAGCUUUGAAUUCUACUAACUGACCUGUUUCUCAAGUGUCCUGUCAGGAAUGAGGUUGACCAAAGUUUUAUGGUAGCAGCUGAGUAGUGAAUUUAUUACCAAAAAGCAUCUAGCUUCAUGACCAUUUUAAUUCAAGCAUGGAACGCAACUCAAGCCCCAGAACUUCCUUCAGAUCAAUUGGCAAGUUUUCAAUUUUGACUGAUAUGAAUAGUCAAUUGAUUAAUAUCUACAGUGCGCAUACAGGCAGCACCCAUUUGGUUGCCAUCAGUUGAUAAUAUCCAUGACACUCACACUAUAAUGUAUAGAUGAUCAUAUAUGUAUUAUUGUUCGUGAGCAAUCAUCUAUGCGUAAUAGGUGUCGCUGGGAAGGAAACCUUUCUCCACAGUAGCAAAAUUCUCAGUGAAACAGUUUUUUGAGUGGAUUUGAAAAAUUGGAUUUUGAUAUUUUGACGGAAAAAAUGUCUUCAGUGUCAGUGUCCCCAAGAAUAGGUUGCAAGUAGUAUUUGUUAUUAUUGUGCUUUAAGAGGUUUUAAAAGUCGCAUUAUAUCCGGCGAUUUAUUGCCCUAAACAAGGGAGAAGCUAGUUUUUCCAUGAAAACUUCUUAUUUUGUGCUGCAAACUUCAAAUCACCAUGACUUUGUUUAGGAUUGAGUUUUAAAGCCUCUUUGAUCUUAAACAAUACUCUAUGCUCUAUCACUUAAUUAAUCAGGAGUUUUAGGGGACCAGGGUUCCUUUUACUGUGGAUGGUCACAUAAUCUAAAAACUGAACAACAAUCAACUCACCUUGCUAGUUCUGGUGUGUGAUAACAGUAAGUAACGAGCUGCUCAAAAAUGAGAAGUGAGGAAACUUGUGAAUUUCAAGGAGAAAAAAAUCCAUAAAAUUGUACCAAGUGUACGGAUUAGAAACCUUUUAUAGUUUUUUCCAUCCAAAGAUGUUACCUUGUAUGUUUCAAGUUUUAUAUCAGGUACUUUAUUUUAUUUCAUAUCAAUGGUGAAACUACCAAACUAC
RNAcentral lists this long non-coding RNA (1861 nucleotides) under Bemisia tabaci. RNAcentral describes it as "lncRNA ENSSWEETPG009887". The record is from RNAcentral. Lineage: Eukaryota; Metazoa; Arthropoda; Insecta; Hemiptera; Aleyrodidae.